CCCAAAAUCGAUACCAACCUUCCUUUUGUGGUCAUAAACAUUGUGUUUAAAUUUCAUUGAUUUCUAUUUACUUAAACUAAAGUUAUGGUGCGAAAACCAAGAAAAAUGCUUAUUUGGGUCCCUUUUUGGCCCCUAAUUCCUAAACUGUUGGGACCUAAACUCCCAAAAUCGAUACCAACCUUCCUUUUGUGGUCAUAAACAUUGUGUUUAAAUUUCAUUGAUUUCUAUUUACUUAAACUAAAGUUAUUGUGCGAAAAACCAAGAAUAAUGCUUAUUUGGCCCUUUUUGGCCCCCAAUUCCUAAACUGUUGGACCCAAAACUCCCAAAAUCAAUCCCAACCUUUCUUUUUUGGUCAUAAACCUUGUGUCAAAAUUUC
RNAcentral lists this long non-coding RNA (376 nucleotides) under Mytilus galloprovincialis (Mediterranean mussel). Lineage: Eukaryota; Metazoa; Mollusca; Bivalvia; Mytilida; Mytilidae. The record is from RNAcentral.